UUUGGCAAAGCAGGGGAAACGCUGUGACGCAAAGCUAUAGGGUCUGUAAUUUUUAUGAUAGCCAGCUGC
Molecule: non-coding RNA, 69 nt
Filed under: uncultured Eubacterium sp.
Lineage: Bacteria; Bacillati; Bacillota; Clostridia; Eubacteriales; Eubacteriaceae
Description: Cyclic di-GMP-I riboswitch
Rfam family: c-di-GMP-I riboswitch aptamer
About the family: GEMM was predicted in a large-scale screen for bacterial structured RNA regulatory elements.
Source: RNAcentral